GGAAAAGGCUGAGACACAGUAUGAGGGAAUGAGCACAAGAGGACGGACUGCAAUCAGUAGAGACACCACCACCUGCCAUUCCUCAAUCCUGACCGUGGGGGCAGCUUUCGAGCAGCAGGGGAGCCCUGAAUUCCCUAAGCCUGAGGACAACAGCAGGUUCACCCGAGUCCAAAGGCCCAACGUAACGAGUUCAACGUAAGCAGCCCGGAAGCCUGGACCCAGUUUAACGCGCUACAUACACCGAGUCGGGGAAGAAGCGCGGCGUAGCGCUGAGCCCUCCGACGCCUGCGAGCUGGAGCGUGGCUUCCGCGGCCCUAGGACACUGCAAGGCCUUCUGGGAAUUUCAGCCACCGGAAGGGGAGGUCGGCGCCUGCGCGGCACUGUGGCCUCGCCAGCAGCCUUGCCGAAAAGCUUUGAAGAGCAAAGUGUCGCGCUUCUGCUGUCGCCGAGCGUUCCGACCUGCCCUUCCACCCAGGUUGCUGGCUUUGUGGCGGAAAGAGCCAGACCACACCGAUUCUUAACUGCAGUCCCGAGCUUCGACGGACUAGGAGACAGUCCCUCGCCGCCAGAGAUCUACUGAUUUUCUGCUGCCAGUGAAUGAGCCAAGACAGGAAGAAAAUAAAGACGGGGGGGAGGGUUGGAAAGAGGCCAAGGGAAGAAAAAAGCGGGGACGAGCCUGUGUGGGUAGGCUGCGCUUUUAAAAGAGAGCGUCAGCCCAGGCCUCUCGCCACUCCCUCACUGGGAGGUGGCCUCCAAUGACAGAAACAAGAGCAACAGGUUUUCCAGAGCCUUUUAAUAGGUCUGCCCUUACACAGGAGGAGAGUGAAUAAAAUGAACAGGAAGAGCUGAAAUAAGCUAGCUUUUCCCUUUCUAAAUAGUCUUGUCCGUUAAUUCCCUUGGUGAAAUAUUUACGAAAAAUCCCAGUACUCUGGAGAUGGAGUCAGGAGGAUCAGUAGUUCAAAGGCAUCCUUGACUACUUGGAAGUUGGAAACCAGCCUGUACUAUAUAGGACCCUGUCUCAAAAAGAUGAAAAACGGGGCACGACGGCUCCCACCACUAGUCUUUAGGUACUCAAGGCUGAAGCAGAAAGAUCUUUUGAGUUUAGGACUUAAGGUCCUGCCUGGGUAAUCCUAUAUCCUACAGAAAAAGAAAAAGAGGGAUAUAGCCAAAAUCUGAAAGGAGAGAAAGAGAACACCCAGUUCUCCGACAUCCCCUUAUGCUCAAAAAAACAGCAUUUUGAAUGGCUGUCUUCCUUUUUUAGAUAAGGGCUGCUAAACAUUUUGUAGGGAGUAACAUUUAGUGCUGUGAUGAACAAAAUCACUUAACAUCCUGCUGCCUCUGGUUAAGCUCUCUUUGGUUUUAUCACAAAAAAUUUUAAAUAACUUUAAUAACUCCUGCCUGGCUAUUUUUAACCGAACAUACUCCUAAACACUGUUUUAUUUUUGUAUAUGAAAGUCUUCUUGACUACUUAAUUUAGUAUGUAACUAUGUGGCUAAUUACUUAGUUUGUAACUGUAUGCAGUUAAUUAUUUAGUCCUUUACUGAUACUACUGCGUAUAUAUGUGGUUUCUGGGCUUCUGUUACUGCAUUGCUGUUGCAGGAUAUUUGAUCAUACUGUAACCUUUGAGGUUUUUUUUUGGUUUUUCGAGACAAGGUUUCUCUGUGUAGCCCUGGCUGGCCUCGAACUCAGAAAUCCACCUGCCUCUGCCUCCCAAGUGCUGGGAUUAAAGGCGUGCGCCACCACUGCCCGGCUUGACCUCUGAGAUUGUUAUUAACUGGAAUAACCUGUUUUGAGUUGUGGUGUGGCUCAGCCUUAGCACACACCUUUAAUCCAAUAUUAUACUAUUGAAUAUUGUAAACAGGAUUAAAUAAAGUCAACUAUGGGUCAAGGGGUAGAACAAGCAACCAGUUGACAGAAGUGAAUGUAGCAUUAUAAAGAAAAAAAACAUAGAUUAAGAAGGAAUCAGGGAGACAUGAACAGGAAAUAGAGGGAGGGACAUUCUGUUUGAGGAGGGGCAUAAGAGAUGUCAACUGAGGUGGAAGACCAGCUGCGUGUUUUCUCUGCCUCUCUGAGAUAGCAGGCUUUCGCCCCAGCAUCUGAUUCCCAACAAGUCUUCAUUGGUAAAAUUGAACAAUUGAGAUUUUGUUAAAAAACAAAGAAACAUUGCUGCUAUAAUUAAUGUCUAAGUUCCUUCAGACAUGCUACCGUAUGGCUAGGAUGAAUGCCUUGAAGUUGAAUUACUGGGCCAAUGUUUAGAUUUUAGUUUUAGUCAAUAAACAUUCUUUUAGAUGUUC
Molecule: long non-coding RNA, 2294 nt
Organism: Grammomys surdaster
Lineage: Eukaryota; Metazoa; Chordata; Mammalia; Rodentia; Muridae
Exons: 2
Source: RefSeq, a predicted model, not a curated record